GGUUGCUUUUAUUUUCCUGAAACCCUUCAGGAAGACAAACUGCCUGCCUGACUAACACCUUCUGCUCUAUCAGCAGUCACACAUGACAGUUCACCGAAGAGUCUGUCUGUGUGUAACCUGUGUAGAGACAGAUACUGGCCUCCAAAGCAGCCUUGUUAACAGAAGUCCUCGCCCCAGACACCCUCAUGAUGUGUGAAAGCAGUGUACACUGUCAUGACAUAUAGCACAUCAGCUCUGGACUUUAAUUGAAAAGUACCGCUUCGUUAUUGAUCCUAAUCAAUUAAGCAAUUAUCACGUCAUCACAGUCCUUUAAUAGUGGCAUCCAAGCAAUUAUUGGGAAGAUAACAAAAGUCAGGAUCAAUUUCUACUGUGGCAUUUAGCACAGGCUUAUGGCGCUGCCAAGACGACAAAGACAUACAAACCUUAUGGUGCAGCUACGACAUCUGCUAGCAGAAGCUAACCGGGCCAUGCUAACCAGUCAAACUCUGACCCCUGGUUUCCCCCUUGUGAACGGCUCUGCCUGCAGGUACUGAACACCUGGUGAAGCUCUUAAAAUAAUCAUAUGGCAGAGCUGGAGUCCUAACCAGCGGUCGCGGUCCUGGGACCUCUUCAAACUACAUUAACCUGGCCUUCAUCUGCCUUGGGGUCUCAUUACUUACAGCAGUGUCCUGGUCUGGGUCUUGGCUUAUGAUCUAAGACAAGAAAGCAGUCAAUUUACAGCAAAUUAUUGGUGAUCAUUAAAUGAGUCCAGAAUUUUUUUUUAUAAAAUGUAUAAAGUUAUACUUUAAUUAAAUAAUAAAAUAAAAUAUUAAAUAUUUUAUAUAAAAAAUAGAAAAAUAUUAAAAUAAAUAAAUUCAAAUAUUAAACGAAAUAAUAAAAUAAAAUAUCUGUAUCAGUCAGUAGAAGGCACUCUCUUUAGGCUUGCUAAAGAUUCAUUGCUUCAGUCACAGCGCAUCUGUUUUACAUUUUCCAGUAAUUAAAGAGCAGUUAAAUACUCCCUUUCUUCUGUGGUACAUCUUAUUACAUUUCGGUUUAAAUUUACUCCCCUUUGUGUUGUGGACUCAUGUUUUACUUGGAUUUAGUGGGAUUACAUAAUCUAAAAUAAUUAUUAUUAGCUUGGUUUGAGGAAAUCCGGUCUGUUUUGACUGCUUUUUUAUUACCAUUUAUUAUAAAUCCACAAAUGGAUUCAAGUUGAACAAUGUCCUUUAAUUUAACCAGUCUUAAAACUGUGUGUAACCAUUCAAAAAUCAUGGUUGAUCUUGUGAGUCGUGAUGUCUGAUGUCAUCAGAAGGCACAUGUUCAGCUCCACUCAACAAACUGCACUUCUUCAGUGAAAGCCUGCAGCUACAUAAACCUCAAAAAAAGAGCACUGGUCAUUUGUAAACUACUGUAACAACUGGAUCCUUAGCACGCGGUCGUUAACGUCCCUAACCAUACUGGCAUUGUGGCAUACACACACUGAAGAUAUUGAAGACAGACAUGUUCAGAGACUAAUAGAUUAGUCAUUCAUGUAAACAUUAGUGCCUAUGUAUAUAAUAUGCAUACUAUGCAUUUAAUAGAAAUAAUAAAAUAAUAUAAAUUUAAAUAAUAUUAAAUAAAUAUAAAUGAAAUUAUAGUACCAUUCAAAGGUUUUUGGUAAGGGUUGGUAAGAUUUUUUAAUUUUUUUUAUUUUAUUUACUUUUUUAUUUUAUUUAUUUAUUUUGUAGCAAGGCUGCAUUAAACCGAGUGUGGCAGUAAAGACUUAAUCAUGACAUAAGUUGCAAUUUACAAAAAUAUAUGAAGCGGCACAACUCUUUUCAACAUUUAUAAUCAUAAUAAAUGUUUCUUAAUCAGCAAAUCAGCAAAUUAGAAUGAUUUCUGAAGGAUCUUGUGACACUGAAGACUGGAGUAAUGAUGCUGAAAAUUCAGCUUUACGUCACAAGAAUAAAUUACAUAUUAAAUAUAUUCAGAUAGAAAACGGUUAUUUUAAAAUGCCAUAAUAUUUCAGACUGUAUUUUUGAUCAAAUAAAUGCAGCCUCGGAGAGCAGAAGACACUUUUUUUUUUUUCAAAAACAUAAAAUCUUACCAACUCCAAACUUCUGAUUGAAAGUGUAUGUGCCGUUAACUUAAAGGGCUAGUUCACCCCAAAAUGAAAAUUCUUUCAUUAAUUACUCACCCUCAUGUCAUUCCAUUGUUGUAUAUAUUUAAAGAGUAUUUGUUUGGGCUGAAUAACAAUUAAAUUCUGUCAUAAAUUGCUCUUUAUUUUGAUUUUGAAGGCUACAGUUUAGAUGAAAAACACAAGCUAUGAAAUGGUCUCAGAAGAAAUAUAGCACAAAGGCCAAAUGGAUGGUGCUUUAUUAUACUGAGUAUGGCAAAAAUCUCUUUUUUAGGUGAACAAUAGCACUGGAUUAUAACUCUGCACAGGUCGGUAAUGAUUGAAUCACUCCAGUCUCACAAUGUCAACACUAAUGGUUAACUAUAUUAUGGUUAUACUUUCAGAACAAUGUGACAGUGAAUUGUAACUCGUGGAUUGUUUCGUUGCUGGAUUGUCAGUCAGAAUAAUGUGAACGCAUGCUUUUCAGGUCUCAUGAUUCACGCUGAAACUCUGACACUAAUGACUGCAUUACUGCGGAUGGUGUGGGUGUUUCAGAACGGCUCCUGCUUUCAAUCGGUGUCUGAGGAUGCUGGAGACGCUGUGGGAGGGUGAAACUUUGGACUGCUUGUAAUUAUGACAAAUAAAAAGAGAGAAAAAGUUUUCAAAUAUGUCUCUCUUUAACCCUCUCCAACUUUCUAGUCUUUCUGUAUUUUUUCAUUUGAUCCACAUUACUUAAUUUCUUUCUCCAGGCAUAGCACAGACUCUGUCACGACAAACCUCCAGUGCAAAUAAAGUCAAAAUUACAUCAGGCAACAUUUCUACAAAUGCAACACACCUAAAAGAUAGAAACCUCUAAGGACAGAGGUGUUUUCAACCCAUAUUACGUUCCAAAAGAUCCACAAUCCUGAGGCAUUGUGGCAAUCAUUACAACAUCAGCCUCAGCCUUCCUUUGAAUACACAUAAUCAGUUCUGCGGAAUGAUCAAAAGCAGAAACAUGAAAGAAUUUCACAUUUUAUGAAAGCAAAGAUUAAACAGUAGGCAUGUAAAAAAUGCUGUCUGAAAAGUUCAUAUUACAUUAUAAAUCCCAAAACAGACGAGACAACCAACUUUAUUAGCAUAGUUUUUUUUAACAUCACUUUUCAACACUAUAUUCUAAUAUUCAGAAUCAGACUUAA
Long non-coding RNA from Cyprinus carpio carpio, 3249 nucleotides. The record is from Ensembl. NCBI's taxonomy places the organism in Eukaryota, Metazoa, Chordata, Actinopteri, Cypriniformes, Cyprinidae.